This 490-nucleotide ribosomal RNA is filed under the name uncultured bacterium. RNAcentral describes it as "partial 16S ribosomal RNA". It matches the Rfam family "Bacterial small subunit ribosomal RNA", at positions 30 to 507 of the family's 1533-position model. The record is from RNAcentral.
AUUGAACGCUGGCGGCAGGCCUAACACAUGCAAGUCGAACGGUAACAGGGAUCAGCUUGCUGAUUCGCUGACGAGUGGCGGACGGGUGAGUAGUGUCUGGGAAACUGCCUGAUGGAGGGGGAUAACUACUGGAAACGGUAGCUAAUACCGCAUAACGUCGCAAGACCAAAGAGGGGGACCUUCGGGCCUCUUGCCAUCAGAUGUGCCCAGAUGGGAUUAGCUAGUAGGUGGGGUAACGGCUCACCUAGGCGACGAUCCCUAGCUGGUCUGAGAGGAUGACCAGCCACACUGGAACUGAGACACGGUCCAGACUCCUACGGGAGGCAGCAGUGGGGAAUAUUGCACAAUGGGCGCAAGCCUGAUGCAGCCAUGCCGCGUGUAUGAAGAAGGCCUUCGGGUUGUAAAGUACUUUCAGCGGGGAGGAAGGGAGUAAAGUUAAUACCUUUGCUCAUUGACGUUACCCGCAGAAGAAGCACCGGCUAACUCCGUG